GACGAACGCUGGCGGCGUGCCUAAUACAUGCAAGUAGAACGCUGAAGGAGGAGCUUGCUUCUCCGGAUGAGUUGCGAACGGGUGAGUAACGCGUAGGUAACCUGCCUGGUAGCGGGGGAUAACUAUUGGAAACGAUAGCUAAUACCGCAUAACAGUAGAUGUUGCAUGACAUUUGCUUAAAAGGUGCAAUUGCAUCACUACCAGAUGGACCUGCGUUGUAUUAGCUAGUUGGUGAGGUAACGGCUCACCAAGGCGAGGAUACAUAGCCGACCUGAGAGGGGGAUCGGCCACACUGGGACUGAGACACGGCCCAGACUCCUUCGGGAGGCAGCAGUAGGGAAUCUUCGGCAAUGGACGGAAGUCUGACCGAGCAACGCCGCGUGAGUGAAGAAGGUUUUCGGAUCGUAAAGCUCUGUUGUAAGAGAAGAACGAGUGUGAGAGUGGAAAGUUCCCACUGUGACGGUAUCUUACCAGAAAGGGACGGCUAACUACGUG
This 495-nucleotide ribosomal RNA is filed under the name uncultured bacterium. Its description in RNAcentral is "partial 16S ribosomal RNA". It matches the Rfam family "Bacterial small subunit ribosomal RNA", at positions 28 to 507 of the family's 1533-position model. The record is from RNAcentral.